RNAcentral lists this ribosomal RNA (398 nucleotides) under uncultured bacterium. RNAcentral describes it as "bacterial SSU rRNA". It matches the Rfam family "Bacterial small subunit ribosomal RNA", at positions 30 to 414 of the family's 1533-position model. The record is from RNAcentral.
AGUGAACGCUGGCGGCAGGCCUAACACAUGCAAGUCGAGCGGCAGCGCGUCCGACCACCCUCGGGUGGUCGGAUGGCGGCGAGCGGCGGACGGGUGAGGAAUGCAUCGGAAUCUGCCUCGUUGUGGGGGAUAACGUAGGGAAACUUACGCUAAUACCGCAUACGACCUACGGGUGAAAGUGGGGGACCUUCGGGCCUCACGCGAUGAGAUGAGCCGAUGCCGGAUUAGCUAGUUGGCGGGGUAAAGGCCCACCAAGGCGACGAUCCGUAGCUGGUCUGAGAGGAUGAUCAGCCACACUGGAACUGAGACACGGUCCAGACUCCUACGGGAGGCAGCAGUGGGGAAUAUUGGACAAUGGGCGCAAGCCUGAUCCAGCAAUGCCGCGUGCAGGAUGAAGG